RNAcentral lists this ribosomal RNA (253 nucleotides) under uncultured bacterium. Its description in RNAcentral is "partial 16S ribosomal RNA". It matches the Rfam family "Bacterial small subunit ribosomal RNA", at positions 524 to 776 of the family's 1533-position model. The record is from RNAcentral.
UACGUAGGGUGCAAGCGUUGUCCGGAAUUAUUGGGCGUAAAGAGCUCGUAGGCGGUUUGUCGCGUCGGCUGUGAAAACCUGGGGCUCAACCCCGGGCCUGCAGCCGAUACGGGCAAACUAGAAUUCGGUAGGGGAGACUGGAAUUCCUGGUGUAGCGGUGAAAUGCGCAGAUAUCGGAAGGAACACCAGUGGCGAAAGCGGCCUCCUGGUCCAGCACCGACGUUCAGGCACGAAAGCGUGGGGAGCAAACAGG